UCUAAUGACAGGAUCCCAGAAAGUGGUGGAA
RNAcentral lists this non-coding RNA (31 nucleotides) under Rattus norvegicus (Norway rat). The record is from RNAcentral. Lineage: Eukaryota; Metazoa; Chordata; Mammalia; Rodentia; Muridae.